GGGGGGGGGGGGGGGGGGGGGGGGGGGGGGGGGGGGGGGGGGGGGGGGGGGGGGCGGGCGUGUGGGAUGGUAGGGGGGGAGGGGGGAGUAAGGGGGGGAUAACGCGCGUGUAGGGCGGGGAGAACGUCGGGGAAGCGGAGCUGAGACGGGCGACUAUUUUGAAGCGGAUGGUGCAGAGGUGAAAGACGGGCUUGCUGUACGUUGUAGAUGGCUCCGCGCUGCAGUAGCUAGUUGGUAAGGUAACGGCUUACCACGGCAACGAUGCAUAGCCGACCUGGGAGGGUGAUCGGCCACACUGGAACUGAGACACGGUCCAGACUCCUACGGUAGGCAGCAGUAGGGAAUCUUCCGCAAUGGGCGAAAGCCUGACGGAGCAACGCCGCGUGAGUGAUGAAGGUCUUCGGAUCGUAAAACUCUGUUAUUAGGGAAGAACAUAUGUGUAAGUAACUGUGCACAUCUUGACGGUACCUAAUCAGAAAGCCACGGCUAACUACGUG
RNAcentral lists this ribosomal RNA (497 nucleotides) under uncultured bacterium. RNAcentral describes it as "partial 16S ribosomal RNA". It matches the Rfam family "Bacterial small subunit ribosomal RNA", at positions 38 to 507 of the family's 1533-position model. The record is from RNAcentral.